AAACCAACAGGGAUUGCCUCAGUAACGGCGAGUGAAGCGGCAAAAGCUCAAAUUUGAAAUCUGGUUGUCUCUGGCAGCCCGAGUUGUAAUUUGAAGAACGGUCCUUGGAGAGGCGCCUUGUCUAUGUUCCUUGGAACAGGACGUCGCAGAGGGUGAGAAUCCCGUUUGGCGAGGUGUGCUGAUCCGUGUAAGGGCUGUUCGACGAGUCGAGUUGUUUGGGAAUGCAGCUCUAAGUGGGUGGUAAAUUCCAUCUAAAGCUAAAUAUUGGCGAGAGACCGAUAGCGAACAAGUACAGUGAUGGAAAGAUGAAAAGAACUUUGAAAAGAGAGUGAAAAAGUACGUGAAAUUGUUGAAAGGGAAGGUUAUUAGAUCAGACUUAGGGUGGAGUUAUACUUGUCCCCUUGUGGGGCAUUCACUAGCUCCAUGUCUAGGCCAGCAUCGAUUGUUUGUGGCCGGAAAAGGGGCGGAGGAAUGUGGCUGUGCCCUUAGCUGGUGCAGUGUUUAUAGCCUCUGCCUUAUGCGGCCUAGCUCGAUCGAGGACUGCGGCUGUCUAACAGCCUAGGAUGCUGGCGUAAUGAUCUAAUAUCGC
RNAcentral lists this ribosomal RNA (589 nucleotides) under Barnettozyma hawaiiensis. RNAcentral's name for it is "eukaryotic LSU rRNA". It matches the Rfam family "Eukaryotic large subunit ribosomal RNA", at positions 62 to 648 of the family's 3401-position model. The record is from RNAcentral. Lineage: Eukaryota; Fungi; Ascomycota; Saccharomycetes; Phaffomycetales; Phaffomycetaceae.